This 497-nucleotide ribosomal RNA is filed under the name uncultured bacterium. RNAcentral's name for it is "partial 16S ribosomal RNA". It matches the Rfam family "Bacterial small subunit ribosomal RNA", at positions 28 to 507 of the family's 1533-position model. The record is from RNAcentral.
GACGAACGCUGGCGGCGUGCCUAAUACAUGCAAGUUGAGCGCUGAAGGUUGGUACUUGUACCCACUGGAUGAGCAGCGAACGGGUGAGUAACGCGUGGGGAAUCUGCCUUUGAGCGGGGGACAACAUUUGGAAACGAAUGCUAAUACCGCAUAAAAACUUUAAACACAAGUUUUAAGUUUGAAAGAUGCAAUUGCAUCACUCAAAGAUGAUCCCGCGUUGUAUUAGCUAGUUGGUGAGGUAAAGGCUCACCAAGGCGAUGAUACAUAGCCGACCUGAGAGGGUGAUCGGCCAACAUGGGAAUGAGACACGGCCCAAACUCCUACGGGAGGCAGCAGGAGGGAAACUUCGGCAAUGGACGAAAGUCUGACCGAGCAACGCCGCGUGAGUGAAGAAGGUUUUCGGAGCGUAAAACUCUGUUGGUAGAGAAGAAAGUUGGUGAGAGUGGAAAGCUCAUCAAGUGACGGUAACUACACAGAAAGGGACGGCUAACUACGUG